Molecule: long non-coding RNA, 262 nt
Organism: Priapulus caudatus
Lineage: Eukaryota; Metazoa; Priapulida; Priapulimorpha; Priapulimorphida; Priapulidae
Exons: 3
Source: RefSeq, a predicted model, not a curated record
AAGAGGUGAGGGGUUUAAGGUAGAGUUUAGACGUCACGAGUUUAAAGGUAAGGGGUUUAGAGGUGAGGGGUUUAAGGUAGAGUUUAGACGCAAGGGGUUUAAGGUAGAGUUUAGACGUCAUGAGUUUAGAGGUAAGGGGUUCAGAGGCGAGGGGUUUAAGGUAGAGUUUAGACGUUAUGAGUUUAGAUGUAAGGGGUUCAGAGGCGAGGAGUUUAAGGUAGAGUUUAGACGUUAUGAGUUUAGAGGCGAGGGGUUCAGAGGC